RNAcentral lists this ribosomal RNA (394 nucleotides) under uncultured bacterium. RNAcentral's name for it is "partial 16S ribosomal RNA". It matches the Rfam family "Bacterial small subunit ribosomal RNA", at positions 338 to 729 of the family's 1533-position model. The record is from RNAcentral.
CCUACGGGAGGCAGCAGUGAGGAAUAUUGGUCAAUGGACGAGAGGCUGAACCAGCCAAGUAGCGUGAAGGAUGACUGCCCUAUGGGUUGUAAACUUCUUUUAUAUGGGAAUAAAAUGUUCCACGUGUGGGAUUUUGUAUGUACCAUAUGAAUAAGGAUCGGCUAACUCCGUGCCAGCAGCCGCGGUAAUACGGAGGAUCCGAGCGUUAUCCGGAUUUAUUGGGUUUAAAGGGAGCGUAGAUGGGUUGUUAAGUCAGUUGUGAAAGUUUGCGGCUCAACCGUAAAAGUGCAAUUGAUACUGGCGUUCUUGAGUGAAGGUGAGGUAGGCGGAAUGCGUGGUGUAGCGGUGAAAUGCUUAGAUAUCACGAAGAACCCCGAUUGCGAAGGCAGCUUAC